GAAUUCGCCCUUAGAGUUUGAUCCUGGCUCAGGACGAACGCUGGCGGCGCGCCUAACACAUGCAAGUCGAACGGAGCUUAGAGAGCUUGCUUUUUAAGCUUAGUGGCGAACGGGUGAGUAACGCGUGAGUAACCUGCCCUAGAGUGGGGGACAACAGUUGGAAACGACUGCUAAUACCGCAUAAGCCCACGGUACCGCAUGGUACUGAGGGAAAAGGAUUUAUUCGCUUUAGGAUGGACUCGCGUCCAAUUAGCUAGUUGGUGAGGUAACGGCCCACCAAGGCGACGAUUGGUAGCCGGACUGAGAGGUUGAACGGCCACAUUGGGACUGAGACACGGCCCAGACUCCUACGGGAGGCAGCAGUGGGGGAUAUUGCACAAUGGGGGAAACCCUGAUACAGCGACGCCGCGUGGAGGAAGAAGGUUUUCGGAUUGUAAACUCCUGUCGUUAGGGACGAUAAUGACGGUACCUAACAAGAAAGCACCGGCUAACUACGUGCCAGCAGCCGCGGUAAAACGUAGGGCGCAAGCGUUGUCCGGAAUUACUGGGUGUAAAGGGAGCGCAGGCGGGAAGACAAGUUGGAAGUGAAAACCAUGGGCUCAACCCAUGAAUUGCUUUCAAAACUGUUUUUCUUGAGUAGUGCAGAGGUAGAUGGAAUUCCCGGUGUAGCGGUGGAAUGCGUAGAUAUCGGGAGGAACACCAGUGGCGAAGGCGGUCUACUGGGCACCAACUGACGCUGAGGCUCGAAAGCAUGGGUAGCAAACAGGAUUAGAUACCCUGGUAGUCCAUGCCGUAAACGAUGAUUACUAGGUGUUGGGGGAUUGACCCCCUCAGUGCCGCAGUUAACACAAUAAGUAAUCCACCUGGGGAGUACGACCGCAAGGUUGAAACUCAAAGGAAUUGACGGGGGCCCGCACAAGCAGUGGAGUAUGUGGUUUAAUUCGAAGCAACGCGAAGAACCUUACCAGGUCUUGACAUCCGAUGCAUAACACAGAGAUGUGUGAAAUCCCUCGGGACAUCGAGACAGGUGGUGCAUGGUUGUCGUCAGCUCGUGUCGUGAGAUGUUGGGUUAAGUCCCGCAACGAGCGCAACCCUUGUUUCUAGUUACCAACAGUAAGAUGGGGACUCUAGAGAGGCUGCCGGUGACAAACCGGAGGAAGGUGGGGAUGACGUCAAAUCAUCAUGCCCCUUAUGGCCUGGGCUACACACGUACUACAAUGGCGUCUACAAAGAGCAGCGAGCAGGUGACUGUAAGCGAAUCUCAUAAAGGACGUCUCAGUUCGGAUUGAAGUCUGCAACUCGACUUCAUGAAGUCGGAAUCGCUAGUAAUCGCGGAUCAGCAUGCCGCGGUGAAUACGUUCUCGGGCCUUGCACUCACCGCCCGUCA
RNAcentral lists this ribosomal RNA (1387 nucleotides) under uncultured bacterium. RNAcentral's name for it is "bacterial SSU rRNA". It matches the Rfam family "Bacterial small subunit ribosomal RNA". The record is from RNAcentral.